This 439-nucleotide ribosomal RNA is filed under the name uncultured bacterium. RNAcentral describes it as "partial 16S ribosomal RNA". It matches the Rfam family "Bacterial small subunit ribosomal RNA", at positions 338 to 795 of the family's 1533-position model. The record is from RNAcentral.
CCUACGGGAUGCAGCAGUAAGGGAUAUUGCACAAUGGGGGAAACCCUGAUGCAGCAACGCCGCGUGAGGGAAGACGGAUUUCGGAUUGUAAACCUCUGUCCUCUGUGAAGAUGAUGACGGUAGCAGAGGAGGAAGCUCCGGCUAACUACGUGCCAGCAGCCGCGGUAAUACGUAGGGAGCGAGCGUUGUCCGGAUUUACUGGGUGUAAAGGGUGCGUAGGCGGCUUGGCAAGUCAGUAGUGAAAUCCAGGGGCUUAACCCAGGAACUGCUUUUGAAACUGUCGAGCUUGAGUGAAGUAGAGGUAGGCGGAAUUCCCGGUGUAGCGGUGAAAGGGGUAGAGAUCGGGAGGAACACCAGUGGCGAAGGCGGCCUAUUGGGCGUUAACUGACGCUGAGGCACGAAGGCGUGGGUAGCAAACAGGAUUAGAUACCCAGUAGUC